GCAAACGGGAUUAGAUACCCUGGUAGUCCACGCUGUAAACGAUGUCGAUUUGGAGGUUGUGCCCCUGAGGCGUGGCUUCCGGAGCUAACGCGUUAAAUCGACCGCCCGGGGAGUACGGCCGCAAGGUUAAAACUCAAAUGAAUUGACGGGGGCCCGCACAAGCGGUGGAGCAUGUGGUUUAAUUCGAUGCAACGCGAAGAACCUUACCUACUCUUGACAUCCAGAGAACUUUCCAGAGAUGGAUUGGUGCCUUCGGGAACUCUGAGACAGGUGCUGCAUGGCUGUCGUCAGCUCGUGUUGUGAAAUGUUGGGUUAAGUCCCGCAACGAGCGCAACCCUUAUCCUUUGUUGCCAGCGGUUCGGCCGGGAACUCAAAGGAGACUGCCAGUGAUAAACUGGAGGAAGGUGGGGAUGACGUCAAGUCAUCAUGGCCCUUACGAGUAGGGCUACACACGUGCUACAAUGGCAUAUACAAAGAGAAGCGACCUCGCGAGAGCAAGCGGACCUCAUAAAGUAUGUCGUAGUCCGGAUUGGAGUCUGCAACUCGACUCCAUGAAGUCGGAAUCGCUAGUAAUCGUAGAUCAGAAUGCUACGGUGAAUACGUUCCCGGGCCUUGUACACACCGCCCGUCACACCAUGGGAGUGGGUUGCAAAAGAAGUAGGUAGCUUAACCUUCGGGAGGGCGCUUACCACUUUGUGAUUCAUGACUGGGG
This 712-nucleotide ribosomal RNA is filed under the name uncultured Serratia sp. RNAcentral describes it as "bacterial SSU rRNA". It matches the Rfam family "Bacterial small subunit ribosomal RNA", at positions 768 to 1480 of the family's 1533-position model. The record is from RNAcentral. Lineage: Bacteria; Pseudomonadati; Pseudomonadota; Gammaproteobacteria; Enterobacterales; Yersiniaceae.